Molecule: ribosomal RNA, 253 nt
Filed under: uncultured bacterium
Lineage: Bacteria
Description: partial 16S ribosomal RNA
Rfam family: Bacterial small subunit ribosomal RNA
Source: RNAcentral
UACAGAGGGUGCGAGCGUUGUCCGGAAUCACUGGGCGUAAAGGGCGCGUAGGCGGUUUUGUAAGUCGGGGGUGAAAUGCUGCGGCUCAACCGCAGCGCUGCCUUCGAGACUGCAAGACUGGAGCACGGUAGAGGCGGAUGGAAUUCCCGGUGUAGCGGUGGAAUGCGUAGAGAUCGGGAAGAACACCAGUGGCGAAGGCGGUCUGCUGGGCCGUUGCUGACGCUGAGGCGCGACAGCGUGGGGAGCAAACAGG